CUCCAUGAUAAUAAUGGCAACAAGGCAGCUUAUUUACCAUCUCCCCAUCCACAACCUCAUCCGUGCAAAUAGCACAAACCACAAGUUCCUCCUUUCCCAAGUCUACCAGAGGCAGGUUUUCCACUACUCUUUUUGCAGCGGGUGGCGUUCCCAUCCAAUCAAAAUCAUUAUCCACCAACUGCUCCAAAGGGGUAUCAUAAUCAGCAUCAAACAUAAAAGGAUCCUCAAUCAAAUUGACUUGAUUGUUAAUGGCCAUUAAUAGUCCCCACUCAAUACUC
This 278-nucleotide unclassified non-coding RNA is filed under the name Hevea brasiliensis (rubber tree). Lineage: Eukaryota; Viridiplantae; Streptophyta; Magnoliopsida; Malpighiales; Euphorbiaceae. The record is from RNAcentral.